RNAcentral lists this ribosomal RNA (433 nucleotides) under uncultured bacterium. Its description in RNAcentral is "partial 16S ribosomal RNA". It matches the Rfam family "Bacterial small subunit ribosomal RNA", at positions 29 to 507 of the family's 1533-position model. The record is from RNAcentral.
AACGAACGCUGGCGGCAGGCCUAACACAUGCAAGUCGAGCGAGGACUUCGGUCCUAGCGGCGGACGGGUGAGUAACGCGUGGGAACGUGCCCUUUGCUUCGGAAUAGCCCUGGGAAACUGGGAGUAAUACCGGAUGAGCCCUUUGGGGGAAAGAUUUAUCGGCGAAGGAUCGGCCCGCGUUGGAUUAGGUAGUUGGUGGGGUAAUGGCCUACCAAGCCGACGAUCCAUAGCUGGUUUGAGAGGAUGAUCAGCCACACUGGGACUGAGACACGGCCCAGACUCCUACGGGAUGCAGCAGUGGGGAAUCUUAGACAAUGGGGGAAACCCUGAUCUACCCAUGCCGCUUGAGCGAUGAAGGCCUUAGAGUUGUAAAGCUCUUUCAGCUGUGAAGAUAAUGACGGUACCAGCAGAAGAAGCCCCGGCUAACUCCGUG